GAUGAACGCUGGCGGCGUGCCUAAUACAUGCAAGUCGAGCGAACCACUUCGGUGGUGAGCGGCGAACGGGUGAGUAACACGUAGGUGAUCUGCCCACCAGACGGGGACAACGAUUGGAAACGAUCGCUAAUACCGGAUAGGACGAAAGUUUAAAGGUGCUUCUGGCACCGCUGAUGGAUGAGCCUGCGGCGCAUUAGCUAGUUGGUAGGGUAAAGGCCUACCAAGGCGACGAUGCGUAGCCGACCUGAGAGGGUGAACGGCCACACUGGGACUGAGACACGGCCCAGACUCCUACGGGAGGCAGCAGUAGGGAAUCUUCGGCAAUGGGCGAAAGCCUGACCGAGCAACGCCGCGUGAAUGAUGAAGGCCUC
This 371-nucleotide ribosomal RNA is filed under the name uncultured bacterium. RNAcentral describes it as "bacterial SSU rRNA". It matches the Rfam family "Bacterial small subunit ribosomal RNA", at positions 28 to 418 of the family's 1533-position model. The record is from RNAcentral.